Long non-coding RNA from Catharus ustulatus (Swainson's thrush), 538 nucleotides. RefSeq lists it as uncharacterized. The transcript has 4 exons. The record is from RefSeq and is a predicted model, not a curated record. Lineage: Eukaryota; Metazoa; Chordata; Aves; Passeriformes; Turdidae.
GGCGGGCCCGGGCGGUUGCCAUGGUAACGGAGGCGGCCGGGCCUGAGGCAGGAAAAGCGGGAAAAGGACCCGAUCCUUUAGCCCCACCCCCGAGCUCUGAUUGGUCCAUUCUCUUCCUGUGGCCCCGCCCACCUCUCCCCUACACGGCCUCCCAUUGGUCAGCGGGGAAGGCGGGAACCGGAAACCGCCGCUUCUGAUUGGCUGAGCAGAGAGCGCGGGAAAGCGGCGGCGGGGGCGCCUUCCCGGCGUGCACCGCGCGGGGGAACUGGGAGGGACUGGGGGGAGUUGGAAGGUCGCCGAUGGCCGAGCCCCGCCCAGGCCCUCCCAGUGCCUCCCAGUGCUCCCAGUUCCCCCUUCCCAGUCACUCCCAGUGCUCCCAGUUCCCCCCUCCCAGUAUGGGGGGGCUCAUCCCCCCCUCCCACUUCGUGCUGCGCUCCAGGUCUCUGGGGGCGGAGCUUGAUUCAGGAAAGGGGCGUGGCCAUGAUGUGGAGGCAGAGCUUGAAGCAGAAAAGGGGCGGAGCCAGCGAAUGGAGGCAGA